This 184-nucleotide non-coding RNA is filed under the name Synechococcus sp. PCC 7335. Its description in RNAcentral is "glnA RNA". It matches the Rfam family "Glutamine riboswitch aptamer (glnA leader)". The record is from RNAcentral. Lineage: Bacteria; Bacillati; Cyanobacteriota; Cyanophyceae; Synechococcales; Synechococcaceae.
ACCGUUCAUCUUUCUAAGUCUGAGUGCUUCUAAGUCUAAGCACUUAGUCCUAAAUGCCCAGUCUCAUCUGACAUUCAUAUGCUUAAGCAAAGCUGUGCAGCAUUAGUCGAGCUAGGCAGAAGCCAAGUGGCCUUAGGCUAGAGAAAGACGGAAGUAGGAGCCUAUAGCUCCGAAGGAACGCGCC